UACAGAGGGUGCGAGCGUUGUCCGGAAUCACUGGGCGUAAAGGGCGCGUAGGUGGCGCGACAAGUCAGUGGUGAAAGCUCGAUGCUUAACAUCGAGUCGGCCACUGAUACUGUUGGGCUUGAGCACUGUAGAGGCUAAUGGAAUUCCGGGUGUAGCGGUGGAAUGCGUAGAGAUCCGGAGGAAUACCGGUGGCGAAGGCGGCAUCCUGGACCGAGAUUGACACUGAUGAGCGAAAGCUAGGGGAGCAAACGGG
Molecule: ribosomal RNA, 253 nt
Filed under: uncultured bacterium
Lineage: Bacteria
Description: partial 16S ribosomal RNA
Rfam family: Bacterial small subunit ribosomal RNA
Source: RNAcentral